Molecule: unclassified non-coding RNA, 376 nt
Filed under: soil metagenome
Description: partial contains 5.8S ribosomal RNA, internal transcribed spacer 2, and large subunit ribosomal RNA
Rfam family: 5.8S ribosomal RNA (bases 1-120)
Source: RNAcentral
GAUGAAGAACGCAGCGAAAUGCGAUAAGUAAUGUGAAUUGCAGAAUUCAGUGAAUCAUCGAAUCUUUGAACGCAUCUUGCGCUCCUUGGUAUUCUGAGGAGCAUGCCUGUUUGAGUGUCAUUAAAUUCUCAACUACACUGACUUUGAAUUGGUGUGGCUUGGAUUUGGGGGGAAAAUUGUUGUGGGCUUUUUGUAUAGUCUACUCCCCUGAAAUUGAUUAGCGGUACCUUUGUGGAACUGUCUACAGGUGUGAUAAUUAUCUACAUCUUAGACAUCUGCUGGAAUGCUGCUUUCUAAACCUUACUUGUAUUGACAAUCUUGACCUCAAAUCAGGUAGGACUACCCGCUGAACUUAAGCAUAUCAAUAAGCGGAGGA